CCUACGGGUGGCAGCAGUCGAGAAUCAUUCACAAUGGGGGAAACCCUGAUGGUGCGACGCCGCGUGGGGGAAUGAAGGUCUUCGGAUUGUAACCUCCUGUCAUGUGGGAGCAAAUUAAAAAGCUAGUACAACAAGAGGAAGCGACCGCUAACGCUGUGCCAGCAGCCGCGGUAAUACAGAGGUCCUUAGCGUGGUUCGCAAUCACUGGGUGUAAAGGGUGCGUAGACUGUUUGGUAAGUCGGGAGGGAAAGGCGGGGGCUCAACCCGGGGAUGGCACUUGAUACUGUGAGAGUGGAGUGUCGGAGGGGGAAGAGGAAUUCGUGGUGUAGAGGUGAA
This 336-nucleotide ribosomal RNA is filed under the name uncultured bacterium. RNAcentral describes it as "partial 16S ribosomal RNA". It matches the Rfam family "Bacterial small subunit ribosomal RNA", at positions 338 to 685 of the family's 1533-position model. The record is from RNAcentral.